UUUAUGGAGAGUUUGAUCCUGGCUCAGGACGAACGCUGGCGGCGUGCUUAACACAUGCAAGUCGAACGGAAAGGCCUAGCUUGCUAGGUACUCGAGUGGCGAACGGGUGAGUAACACGUGGGUGAUCUGCCUCGUACUUCGGGAUAAGCCUGGGAAACUGGGUCUAAUACUGGAUAGGACCAUGCUUUAGUGUGUGUGGUGGAAAGUUUUUUCGGUACGAGAUGAGCCCGCGGCCUAUCAGCUUGUUGGUGGGGUAAUGGCCUACCAAGGCGUCGACGGGUAGCCGGCCUGAGAGGGUGGACGGCCACAUUGGGACUGAGAUACGGCCCAGACUCCUACGGGAGGCAGCAGUGGGGAAUAUUGCACAAUGGGCGCAAGCCUGAUGCAGCGACGCCGCGUGGGGAUGACGGCCUUCGGGUUGUAAACCUCUUUCGCUAGGGACGAAGCUUUUGUGACGGUACCUAGAUAAGAAGCACCGGCUAACUACGUGCCAGCAGCCGCGGUAAUACGUAGGGUGCGAGCGUUGUCCGGAAUUACUGGGCGUAAAGAGCUCGUAGGUGGUUUGUCGCGUCGUCUGUGAAAUUCCGGGGCUUAACUUCGGGCGUGCAGGCGAUACGGGCAUAACUUGAGUGCUGUAGGGGAGACUGGAAUUCCUGGUGUAGCGGUGGAAUGCGCAGAUAUCAGGAGGAACACCGAUGGCGAAGGCAGGUCUCUGGGCAGUAACUGACGCUGAGGAGCGAAAGCAUGGGGAGCGAACAGGAUUAGAUACCCUGGUAGUCCAUGCCGUAAACGGUGGGCGCUAGGUGUGAGGGUCUUCCACGACUUUCGUGCCGUAGCUAACGCAUUAAGCGCCCCGCCUGGGGAGUACGGCCGCAAGGCUAAAACUCAAAGGAAUUGACGGGGGCCCGCACAAGCGGCGGAGCAUGUGGAUUAAUUCGAUGCAACGCGAAGAACCUUACCUGGGCUUGACAUAUGCAGGAUCGGCGUAGUGAUACGUUUUCCCUUGUGGUCUGUAUACAGGUGGUGCAUGGUUGUCGUCAGCUCGUGUCGUGAGAUGUUGGGUUAAGUCCCGCAACGAGCGCAACCCUUGUCUUAUGUUGCCAGCACGUGAUGGUGGGGACUCAUGAGAGACUGCCGGGGUUAACUCGGAGGAAGGUGGGGAUGACGUCAAAUCAUCAUGCCCCUUAUGUCCAGGGCUUCACACAUGCUACAAUGGUCGGUACAACGCGCUGCGAGCCUGUGAGGGUGAGCGAAUCGCUGAAAGCCGGCCUCAGUUCGGAUUGGGGUCUGCAACUCGACCCCAUGAAGUCGGAGUCGCUAGUAAUCGCAGAUCAGCAACGCUGCGGUGAAUACGUUCCCGGGCCUUGUACACACCGCCCGUCACGUCAUGAAAGUUGGUAACACCCGAAGCCAGUGGCCUAACCCUUGUGGGGGGAGCUGUCGAAGGUGGGAUCGGCGAUUGGGACGAAGUCGUAACAAGGUAGCCGUACCGGAAGGUGCGGCUGGAUCACCUCCUUUCUAAGGAG
RNAcentral lists this ribosomal RNA (1526 nucleotides) under Corynebacterium diphtheriae. Its description in RNAcentral is "bacterial SSU rRNA". It matches the Rfam family "Bacterial small subunit ribosomal RNA". Lineage: Bacteria; Bacillati; Actinomycetota; Actinomycetes; Mycobacteriales; Corynebacteriaceae. The record is from RNAcentral.